AGUGAACGCUGGCGGUAGGCCUAACACAUGCAAGUCGAACGGCAGCACAGUAAGAGCUUGCUCUUACGGGUGGCGAGUGGCGGACGGGUGAGGAAUACAUCGGAAUCUACUUUUUCGUGGGGGAUAACGUAGGGAAACUUACGCUAAUACCGCAUACGACCUACGGGUGAAAGCAGGGGAUCUUCGGACCUUGCGCGAUUGAAUGAGCCGAUGUCGGAUUAGCUAGUUGGCGGGGUAAAGGCCCACCAAGGCGACGAUCCGUAGCUGGUCUGAGAGGAUGAUCAGCCACACUGGAACUGAGACACGGUCCAGACUCCUACGGGAGGCAGCAGUGGGGAAUAUUUGACAAUGGGCGCAAGCCUGAUCCAGCCAUACCGCGUGGGUGAAGAAGGCCUUCGGGUUGUAAAGCCCUUUUGUUGGGAAAGAAAAGCAGCAGGUUAAUACCCCGCUGUUCUGACGGUACCCAAAGAAUAAGCACCGGCUAACUUCGU
Molecule: ribosomal RNA, 491 nt
Filed under: uncultured bacterium
Lineage: Bacteria
Description: partial 16S ribosomal RNA
Rfam family: Bacterial small subunit ribosomal RNA
Source: RNAcentral